AACGCGAAGAACCUUACCUGGGUUUGACAUGCACAGGACGACUGCAGAGAUGUGGUUUCCCUUGUGGCCUGUGUGCAGGUGGUGCAUGGCUGUCGUCAGCUCGUGUCGUGAGAUGUUGGGUUAAGUCCCGCAACGAGCGCAACCCUUGUCCUAUGUUGCCAGCGGGUUAUGCCGGGGACUCGUAGGAGACUGCCGGGGUCAACUCGGAGGAAGGUGGGGAUGACGUCAAGUCAUCAUGCCCCUUAUGUCCAGGGCUUCACACAUGCUACAAUGGCCGGUACAAAGGGCUGCGAUGCCGUGAGGUGGAGCGAAUCCUUUCAAAGCCGGUCUCAGUUCGGAUCGGGGUCUGCAACUCGACCCCGUGAAGUCGGAGUCGCUAGUAAUCGCAGAUCAGCAACGCUGCGGUGAAUACGUUCCCGGGCCUUGUACACACCGAGACGAC
RNAcentral lists this ribosomal RNA (442 nucleotides) under uncultured bacterium. RNAcentral describes it as "bacterial SSU rRNA". It matches the Rfam family "Bacterial small subunit ribosomal RNA", at positions 958 to 1398 of the family's 1533-position model. The record is from RNAcentral.